Molecule: ribosomal RNA, 510 nt
Filed under: uncultured bacterium
Lineage: Bacteria
Description: partial 16S ribosomal RNA
Rfam family: Bacterial small subunit ribosomal RNA
Source: RNAcentral
GACGAACGCUGGCGGCGUGCCUAAUACAUGCAAGUCGAGCGAAUGGCGAGAAGCUUGCUUCUCUGAUUUAGCGGCGGACGGGUGAGUAACACGUGGGCAACCUGCCCUACAGAUCGGGAUAACUCAGGGAAACCUGGGCUAAUACCGGAUAAUCCUUCGAAUCACAUGUUUUGAAGUUGAAAGGCGAUUCGGCGUCACUGUAGGAAGGGCACGCGGUGCAUUAGCUAGUUGGUGGGGUAACGGCCUACCAAGGCAACGAUGCAUAGCCGACCUGAGAGGGUGAUCGGCCACAUUGGGACUGAGACACGGCCCAAACUCCUACGGGAGGCAGCAGUAGGGAAUCUUCCACAAUGGACGAAAGUCUGAUGGAGCAACGCCGCGUGAGUGAUGAAGGUUUUCGGAUCGUAAAACUCUGUUGUAAGGGAAGAACAAGUACGUUAGGAAAUGAACGUACCUUGACGGUACCUUAUUAGAAAGCCACGGCUAACUACGUGCCAGCCGCCGCUGUAA